Molecule: long non-coding RNA, 440 nt
Filed under: Citrus maxima (pomelo)
Lineage: Eukaryota; Viridiplantae; Streptophyta; Magnoliopsida; Sapindales; Rutaceae
Description: long non-coding RNA (CMAX_LNC000460)
Source: RNAcentral
AAAAUCUUAUCAAACUCCUCAGCUUCCUCCAGUUUCAAUCCCACCUUCAUCAAAUCCUCCACUCCCACUUCUCUUAUGUUCUUUCCCAUUUUUUCCUCUCUCUCUCGUUAACAAGUUCUGAUCUUUUUUUCAGUUACCAGUAGACAUUUGGGAGUCCCUCUGUUACAUGAACAUAGCAUUUACCAUAGACAUUUAUUGUUAACAGGUAAUAACAGGUGUAGAAGAUUGAAUAAGGUAGGUGGUUGAACAUGUGGUGUGUUUCUGAUGAUUAAAAAAAUGAGUCAACGACCCCAGUUUCGAUAUACGAAAAACACUGCUUCUGUAAUUUACUCUAGUGGGUAUUACGGAUUUCCACUCUUAAACAUCCAAGUCUUUGGCACCACCAGGUCCCCACGGAUUCGUACGCUUGCAUGUAUAUAUAUGUAUGUGUGUAUGUGUGU